AUUGAACGCUGGCGGAAUGCUUUACACAUGCAAGUCGAACGGCAGCACGGACUUCGGUCUGGUGGCGAGUGGCGAACGGGUGAGUAACAUAUCGGAACGUGCCCAGUCGUGGGGGAUAACGUAGUGAAAAUUACGCUAAUACCGCAUACGAUCUACGGAUGAAAGCGGGGGAUCGCAAGACCUCGCGCGAUUGGAGCGGCCGAUAUCAGAUUAGGUAGUUGGUGAGGUAAAGGCUCACCAAGCCGACGAUCUGUAGCUGGUCUGAGAGGACGACCAGCCACACUGGAACUGAGACACGGUCCAGACUCCUACGGGAGGCAGCAGUGGGGAAUUUUGGACAAUGGACGCAAGUCUGAUCCAGCCAUUCCGCGUGCAGGACGAAGGCCUUCGGGUUGUAAACUGCUUUUGUACAGAACGAAAAGGUUUCUAUUAAUACUAGGGGCUCAUGACGGUACUGUAAGAAUAAGCACCGGCUAACUACGUG
This 484-nucleotide ribosomal RNA is filed under the name uncultured bacterium. RNAcentral's name for it is "bacterial SSU rRNA". It matches the Rfam family "Bacterial small subunit ribosomal RNA", at positions 30 to 507 of the family's 1533-position model. The record is from RNAcentral.